This 72-nucleotide transfer RNA is filed under the name Allomicrovenator marinus. RNAcentral describes it as "Microvenator marinus tRNA". It matches the Rfam family "tRNA". From Rfam's summary of the family: Transfer RNA (tRNA) molecules are approximately 80 nucleotides in length. The record is from Rfam by way of RNAcentral. Lineage: Bacteria; Deltaproteobacteria; Bradymonadales; Allomicrovenatoraceae.
UCCGGCUUAGCUCAGUGGUAGAGCAAUCGGCUGUUAACCGAUUGGUCGCUAGUUCGAAUCUAGCAGCCGGAG